This 253-nucleotide ribosomal RNA is filed under the name uncultured bacterium. RNAcentral describes it as "partial 16S ribosomal RNA". It matches the Rfam family "Bacterial small subunit ribosomal RNA", at positions 524 to 776 of the family's 1533-position model. The record is from RNAcentral.
UACGAAGGGGGCUAGCGUUGUUCGGAAUUACUGGGCGUAAAGGGCGCGUAGGCGGCGUGUCAAGUCAGGCGUGAAAGCCCCGGGCUCAACCUGGGAACCGCGCUUGAGACUGGCAUGCUCGAGUUCGGGAGAGGAUGGUGGAAUUCCCAGUGUAGAGGUGAAAUUCGUAGAUAUUGGGAAGAACACCGAUGGCGAAGGCAGCCAUCUGGACCGACACUGACACUGAGGCGCGAAAGCGUGGGGAGCAAACAGG